GAUGAACGCUGGCGGCGUGCCUAAUGCAUGCAAGUCGAGCGAACAGACGAGGAGCUUGCUCCUCUGAUGUUAGCGGCGGACGGGUGAGUAACACGUGGAUAACCUACCUAUAAGACUGGGAUAACUUCGGGAAACCGGAGCUAAUACCGGAUAACAUGUUGAACCGCAUGGUUCAACAGUGAAAGACGGUCUUGCUGUCACUUAUAGAUGGAUCCGCGCCGCAUUAGCUAGUUGGUAAGGUAACGGCUUACCAAGGCAACGAUGCGUAGCCGACCUGAGAGGGUGAUCGGCCACACUGGAACUGAGACACGGUCCAGACUCCUACGGGAGGCAGCAGUAGGGAAUCUUCCGCAAUGGGCGAAAGCCUGACGGAGCAACGCCGCGUGAAUGAAGAAGGUCUUCGGAUCGUAAAACUCUGUUAUUAGGGAAGAACAAAUGUGUAAGUAACUAUGCACGUCUUGACGGUACCUAAUCAGAAAGCCACGGCUAACUACGUG
This 497-nucleotide ribosomal RNA is filed under the name uncultured bacterium. RNAcentral describes it as "partial 16S ribosomal RNA". It matches the Rfam family "Bacterial small subunit ribosomal RNA", at positions 28 to 507 of the family's 1533-position model. The record is from RNAcentral.